CACGUAGGGUGCGAGCGUUGUCCGGAAUUAUUGGGCGUAAAGAGCUCGUAGGCGGUGCGUCGCGUCGGCCGUGAAAACCUGCAGCUUAACUGUGGGCUUGCGGUCGAUACGGGCAUCACUGGAGUUCGGCAGGGGAGACUGGAAUUCCUGGUGUAGCGGUGAAAUGCGCAGAUAUCAGGAGGAACACCGGUGGCGAAGGCGGGUCUCUGGGCCGAUACGGACGCUGAGGAGCGAAAGCGUGGGGAGCGAACAGG
This 254-nucleotide ribosomal RNA is filed under the name uncultured bacterium. RNAcentral's name for it is "partial 16S ribosomal RNA". It matches the Rfam family "Bacterial small subunit ribosomal RNA", at positions 524 to 776 of the family's 1533-position model. The record is from RNAcentral.